GUGCUGAGUCCAAGAGGUUGGGCCCACGGCCAGCAAUCGUGCAACAUUUGGAUUCGUUUCGGUAUCGGGUGAACAGUCGUCGUCGUCGCAGCAAAGCUCAAACCAGAGAUCACACAGAAUGCAGAUCUGUAAAAUUUCAAUUGGAUCGCUACAGAUCGUGUUUGCAUCUGCCUCAGCUGCGCUGCGCACUUCAAAUCCCCAAAUGGAAAGUAAUCGUUGACUGAACCCAACCCCACCCCCAACUCUCUUUGACCACCAUCCAUCCAUCCGACCGCUCGGCACAUAACACCUCCAUCACUUUCGGCUUGUUUGGCACCGCACAUCCUAAACAUCAUCCAGCACCGACCGGCAAAGCAGCACCUGAAGAUGAAGUUGAAGCUGAAGUUGACACGAAAUUUGUCGGCGGCAAAUUGGCACUUGAUUGUUAGCCACGGCCAAUUCGCUUUUUGGCACUCAUCACAAGGCAUUGAAUCGCACGGACCCGUUGGAAGACCCCCCAAAAACACUCUCGGCCCUUGUACAAAAUUUACAUUCGUGAUUAAGUUUAGGUGUAACCAAUAAACACAAAAAAAAACUACAAUAGGCUACCAAAAA
Drosophila nasuta is the source of this 594-nucleotide long non-coding RNA. RefSeq lists it as uncharacterized. The transcript has 2 exons. The record is from RefSeq and is a predicted model, not a curated record. Lineage: Eukaryota; Metazoa; Arthropoda; Insecta; Diptera; Drosophilidae.